GACGAACGCUGGCGGCGUGCCUAAUACAUGCAAGUCGAACGCUUGUUUCCUCCCCAGGGCUUGCACUCAAUAGGAGAGAGGGGUGGCGGACGGGUGGGUAACACGUGGGUAACCUACGCAUCAACGGGGGAAAACACGUGCUAACACGGGCUAAUACUUCAUAACACUUUAUGCAGCAUGGCAUAAGAGUGAAGGGGGCUUUCGGGGAUCGUUGAUGGAUGGACCCGCGCUGCAUUAGCUAGUUGGUAAGGUAACGGCUCACCAAGGAAACGAUGCAUAGCCGACCUGAGAGGGUGAUCGGCCACACUGGAACUGAGACACGGCCCAGACUCCUACGGGAGGCAGCAGUAGGGAAUCUUCGGCAAUGGGCGAAAGCCUGACCGAGCAACGCCGCGUGAGUGAUGAAGGUUUUCGGAUCGUAAAACUCUGUUAUUAGGGAAGAACAUGGACGUUAGUAACUGAGCGUACCCUGACGGUACCUAAUCAGAAAGCCACGGCUAACUACGUG
This 508-nucleotide ribosomal RNA is filed under the name uncultured bacterium. Its description in RNAcentral is "partial 16S ribosomal RNA". It matches the Rfam family "Bacterial small subunit ribosomal RNA", at positions 28 to 507 of the family's 1533-position model. The record is from RNAcentral.